RNAcentral lists this ribosomal RNA (750 nucleotides) under uncultured bacterium. RNAcentral describes it as "bacterial SSU rRNA". It matches the Rfam family "Bacterial small subunit ribosomal RNA", at positions 10 to 757 of the family's 1533-position model. The record is from RNAcentral.
AGUUUGAUCAUGGCUCAGAUUGAACGCUGGCGGCAUGCUUUACACAUGCAAGUCGAACGGCAGCGGGGGCUUCGGCCUGCCGGCGAGUGGCGAACGGGUGAGUAAUACAUCGGAACGUGUCCUUAAGUGGGGAAUAACGCAUCGAAAGAUGUGCUAAUACCGCAUAUCUCUCAGGAGGAAAGCAGGGGAUCGAAAGACCUUGCGCUAAAGGAGCGGCUGAUGUCUGAUUAGCUAGUUGGUGGGGUAAAGGCUUACCAAGGCAACGAUCAGUAGCUGGUCUGAGAGGACGACCAGCCACACUGGGACUGAGACACGGCCCAGACUCCUACGGGAGGCAGCAUUGGGGAAUUUUGGACAAUGGGCGAAAGCCUGAUCCAGCCAUGCCGCGUGAGUGAAGAAGGCCUUCGGGUUGUAAAGCUCUUUUAGUCGGAAAGAAAGAGUCAUAGUAAAUAGCUAUGAUUUAUGACGGUACCGACAGAAAAAGCACCGGCUAACUACUUGCCUGCAGCCGCGGUAAUACGUAGGGUGCGAGCGUUAAUCGGAAUUACUGGGUGUAAAGGGUGCGCAUGCGGUCUUGUAAGUCAGAUGUGAAAGCCCCGGGCUUAACCUGUGAAUUGCGUUUGAAACUACAUAGCUAGAGUGCAGCAGAGGGGAGUGGAAUUCCAUGUGUAGUAUUGAAAUGCUUANAGAUGUGGAAUAUCACCGAUGGCGACCCCACUCCCUGGGUUGACACUGACUCUCAUGCACGAU